CAGAAGGUAGUUUAAGUAAAAAAAUGCCAGUUUUGGGGAUUGGUGAUAAGGCAGGUGUCUUUCCUUCUGA
Molecule: transfer RNA, 70 nt
Filed under: Rhineura floridana
Lineage: Eukaryota; Metazoa; Chordata; Lepidosauria; Squamata; Rhineuridae
Description: tRNA-Pro
Source: RNAcentral